AGAUUGAACGCUGGCGGCAGGCCUAACACAUGCAAGUCGAGCGGCAGCACGGGUACUUGUACCUGGUGGCGAGCGGCGGACGGGUGAGUAAUGCCUAGGAAUCUGCCUGAUAGUGGGGGAUAACGCUCGGAAACGGACGCUAAUACCGCAUACGUCCUACGGGAGAAAGCAGGGGACCUUCGGGCCUUGCGCUAUCAGAUGAGCCUAGGUCGGAUUAGCUAGUUGGUGGGGUAAUGGCUCACCAAGGCGACGAUCCGUAACUGGUCUGAGAGGAUGAUCAGUCACACUGGAACUGAGACACGGUCCAGACUCCUACGGGAGCAGCAGUGGGAAUA
RNAcentral lists this ribosomal RNA (335 nucleotides) under uncultured soil bacterium. RNAcentral describes it as "bacterial SSU rRNA". It matches the Rfam family "Bacterial small subunit ribosomal RNA", at positions 26 to 363 of the family's 1533-position model. The record is from RNAcentral.